AACGCACAUUGCGCUCCCUGGUAUUCCGGGGAGCAUGCCUGUUCGAGCGUCAUUAUCAACCAUCAAGCCCUGCUUGGCAUUGGGUGCCGUCCCUGCUGUGGACGCGCCCUAAAGUAAUCGGCGGUGGUGUUGAACCUCAAGCGUAGUAAAUCUCCAGCUUUCUAGGUGAGACGCCGCUCGGCCUCGAGAACCCAUCACCUCAAGGUUGACCUCGGAUCAGGUAGGGAUACCCGCUGAACUUAA
This 243-nucleotide unclassified non-coding RNA is filed under the name Botryosphaeriales sp. Its description in RNAcentral is "partial contains 5.8S ribosomal RNA, internal transcribed spacer 2, and large subunit ribosomal RNA". The stretch from base 1 to 52 matches the Rfam family "5.8S ribosomal RNA", at positions 103 to 154 of the family's 154-position model. The record is from RNAcentral. Lineage: Eukaryota; Fungi; Ascomycota; Dothideomycetes; Botryosphaeriales. RNAcentral also lists the same sequence under 2 other names.